RNAcentral lists this ribosomal RNA (253 nucleotides) under uncultured bacterium. RNAcentral's name for it is "partial 16S ribosomal RNA". It matches the Rfam family "Bacterial small subunit ribosomal RNA", at positions 524 to 776 of the family's 1533-position model. The record is from RNAcentral.
UACGUAGGGUGCGAGCGUUAAUCGGAAUUACUGGGCGUAAAGCGUGCGUAGACGGUUACAUAAGUCGGGUGUGAAAGCCCCGGGCUCAACCUGGGAAUUGCAUUCGAGACUGCGUAGCUAGGGUGCGGAAGAGGGAAGCGGAAUUUCCGGUGUAGCGGUGAAAUGCGUAGAUAUCGGGAGGAACACCUGAGGCGAAGGCGGGUUACUGGGCUGAUACUGACGCUGAUGCGCGAAAGCCAGGGGAGCAAACGGG